RNAcentral lists this ribosomal RNA (496 nucleotides) under uncultured bacterium. Its description in RNAcentral is "partial 16S ribosomal RNA". It matches the Rfam family "Bacterial small subunit ribosomal RNA", at positions 29 to 507 of the family's 1533-position model. The record is from RNAcentral.
ACGAACGCUGGCGGCGUGCCUAAUACAUGCAGGUAGAACGCUGAAGAGAGGAGCUUGCUCUUCUUGGAUGAGUUGCGAACGGGUGAGUAACGCGUAGGUAACCUGCCUUGUAGCGGGGGAUAACUAUUGGAAACGAUAGCUAAUACCGCAUAACAAUGGAUGACACAUGUCAUUUAUUUGAAAGGGGCAAUUGCUCCACUACAAGAUGGACCUGCGUUGUAUUAGCUAGUAGGUGAGGUAACGGCUCACCUAGGCGACGAUACAUAGCCGACCUGAGAGGGUGAUCGGCCACACUGGGACUGAGACACGGCCCAGACUCCUACGGGAGGCAGCAGUAGGGAAUCUUCGGCAAUGGGGGCAACCCUGACCGAGCAACGCCGCGUGAGUGAAGAAGGUUUUCGGAUCGUAAAGCUCUGUUGUAAGUCAAGAACGGGUGUGAGAGUGGAAAGUUCACACUGUGACGGUAGCUUACCAGAAAGGGACGGCUAACUACGUG